GAGGGUAUAGUUCAAGUGGUGGAGCGCAUGCUUAGCAUGCACAAGGUCCUGGGUUUAAUUCCCAGUACCUCCU
This is a transfer RNA of Camelus ferus (Wild Bactrian camel), 73 nucleotides long. It matches the Rfam family "tRNA". From Rfam's summary of the family: Transfer RNA (tRNA) molecules are approximately 80 nucleotides in length. Their secondary structure includes four short double-helical elements and three loops (D, anti-codon, and T loops). The record is from Rfam. Lineage: Eukaryota; Metazoa; Chordata; Mammalia; Artiodactyla; Camelidae.